UGGGGAAUUUUGGACAAUGGGCGAAAGCCUGAUCCAGCCAUGCCGCGUGAGUGAAGAAGGCCUUCGGGUUGUAAAGCUCUUUUAGUCGGAAAGAAAGAGUUGCAAUGAAUAAUUGUGAUUUAUGACGGUACCGACAGAAAAAGCACCGGCUAACUACGUGCCAGCAGCCGCGGUAAUACGUAGGGUGCGAGCGUUAAUCGGAAUUACUGGGCGUAAAGGGUGCGCAGGCGGUCUUGCAAGUCAGAUGUGAAAGCCCCGGGCUUAACCUGGGAAUUGCGUUUGAAACUACAAGACUAGAGUGCAGCAGAUGUCAGUGGAAUUCCAUGUGUAGCAGUGAAAUGCGUAGAGAUGUGGAAGAACACCGAUGGCGAAGGCAGCUCCCUGGGUUGACACUGACGCUCAUGCACGAAAGCGUGGGGAGCAAACA
This 427-nucleotide ribosomal RNA is filed under the name uncultured bacterium. Its description in RNAcentral is "bacterial SSU rRNA". It matches the Rfam family "Bacterial small subunit ribosomal RNA", at positions 355 to 774 of the family's 1533-position model. The record is from RNAcentral.